CCCCGCUGUGCCCUUUCUUUAUGGUUCUUCAAUUUGUCCCUUCAUAGACCCAGAAUUCAAUUGCCAAAAAUACGGAAGACCCGAUAAGAUCUACCUCAAACACAAGUGGAAGCCACUGGGUUGUGACCUCCCAAGGUUUAAUGGGAUGCAAUUCCUGAUGGAAUGGAAAGGGAAGAAGAUUAUGUUUGUGGGUGACUCACUGAGCCUAAACCAGUGGGAAUCACUAAACUGCUUGAUUCAUGCUUCAAUGCCCAACGCCAGGACCACUGUUGUGAGGAGUGGAACUUUUUCUCCAGUAACAUUUGUGUUUUCUUCUCUUCUCUUCUCUUCUCUUCUCUUCAUUCCCAACAGAGCAAUUCUGCUCCUUUUGAGUAAUAACUAAUGAAAAUUUGAAGGAUAUGGGAA
This is a long non-coding RNA of Macadamia integrifolia, 405 nucleotides long. RefSeq lists it as uncharacterized. The record is from RefSeq and is a predicted model, not a curated record. Lineage: Eukaryota; Viridiplantae; Streptophyta; Magnoliopsida; Proteales; Proteaceae. The transcript has 2 exons.